This is an RNA transcript of Cephus cinctus (wheat stem sawfly), 10184 nucleotides long. It is a transcript of the gene named serine-rich adhesin for platelets, with no coding region annotated. NCBI's taxonomy places the organism in Eukaryota, Metazoa, Arthropoda, Insecta, Hymenoptera, Cephidae. The transcript is spliced from 8 exons. The record is from RefSeq and is a predicted model, not a curated record.
UAGACGUUUCAAGGGUCAUGGCAUAACAUUACCAAAGAUAGCAGAACACAGAUUGGAAAGAUCAUUCGUUUAGUACUGAAAGUUGCCGAAUGUGGCGCACAAUAUGGUUUUGUCUGCUUGUUCUUGCGAUGUGAAUGUCCACCGUGCGAUCUUGUCAAGUUUUAUAUCUUGGCUGCCUGGCUGUUUUGCCUUUCGUCUUUAUAAUUUCGUAUCACCAGUGAAUGCUUUGGUGUAGCAUUAAUGAUUUGUAUAAUGGUAGGUUGCUAAUUUAGUAUGCAAGAAAUCAGCUCGGUGGUCCGGAGCAGCUGUCAGCUCGGAUGUACGAUGACGAUGUCACCGAGAAAAAGUGAACCGUCAACUUUAGAUUUUUAGUCGUAUGGCAACUUGUCCUUUUUGGACGAUGAGAGGGAGUUAUUAAAUUAUGCCCAGAAAGGAGAACACCAAAGCCAAAACAUGGGAGCGAGACAGAAGAAAGCGAAUGAAUGUCUACUUCAAAACCCUUGCAGAUCUCUUACCACCACUGCAAGAAGGUCGCAAACGCAACAAAGUAGAUAUUCUUAUCCAUGCCUCCAAAUACGUCAAAGACCUCCAUAGUCGAACAGAAGAGUUAUUCUUUGCUCAUGCUACGGAUGCACACAAGGAGGAAUUAACGCGUUUAAAGAAGCUUGUUGCUCAGCUGUUUUCUCGAACUCAACUACUCUCUGCUCUUUUGAAAGAAGCUGGAAUAUCUGUUCCAGCAGAACCUGCACUUGAAAGGAUUUCCCCACGAAAAUGGUCCAAUAAGAUUAGCACAGAAGAAGGAGAGAAAUGCUUUGAGAAAAAGUUAAAGAAAAGAAGGGAAAAAGUAACGGCCAACAAAGUGCCUUCUAAAAGAAAACAGACAAUCUCCUGUCAAUCCACAUUAAAAAUAUCGUCAGAAAAUAGUACCCUUGUCGAGAGUGGUGACCCUGCGGUCGAAGAUCGUGAAAAUCGUGUAAAUACUAUUAAUCGAGACGAGAACCAGUUCGACGAUAUUACUGGGCUGUCGACACUGGGACCAAAAAAACUUGAACGCAACGAAUCUUGCUCACCUUCUGCCAAUGGCGUUAAAACGGCUUUGGAUGAUCACAAAAGGAACAAGAGGAAAGGGAAAAGAAAUGAAAGAAGAAAACUAUCACCUCGUACAACACAAUCUAUGUCGAGUUUCGGCGCAGGCACCGUAAUACUUUCAAAUUCUGGCAAGGUUGUACCUGUUGUGACACCUAUGAGUGCAUUGCCUGCUUCUAAUCUAAUUGUAAAUACCAGUCCAUCCUCCGUUAAUUCGCCCAUAAUUUUAAACAGUGCUCGCUCACAUCAGAUGAUUUUCAUGCAGCCUGUUGCACAAGAAACCAAUCGUGUGCAAAAUUCUGUGAUAGCUUUACAGAACCAAGCAUUUAUUAGUACCGUGCAAAAAGUUGCCGUAAGCACUAUACCAAACAUUCGCACUAAUGUUGUGCUCAACUCUCAAGAUUGGUUUUCCAACGUGAAGACUAUUAUUGAUGCUACGAAAAUAGGCGGGCAUAAAGGAAUCUUGCCCAAAGGCAGAGAAGUCACAAAGACUACGAUGGCCUACAAAGUUCCUAUUCCUGCAGUUCACAAAACUAAGGUUCAAAAAAUUAAGAAUACUGAGGCUCAACGAGAUAUCGUACACUCACUCAAACUACGAUCAAAGGUUACCUCGUCGAAAUCAACAAAAGAAGCGCGAGGACAUGGUUCGAUCAAAAAAGUUGCAGUUACGAACAGUCAUGAAAAUGCAAAAUCUAAUGAAUCUAAUAAUGUUGAUGACUAUGGUGCUGAGGAUAGUAAUGACAGCAACACCUCUUCUGAAAAUAAUAAGAAAGAUGAUCGAAAGAAGAAUGGAGUUCUUAACGAAAUCGAUGAAGGGAACAAAGAUGAAAAAAGGUUAGCAAUAACGAGUGAAGAUAAUAAAGGAAGAAAAAAUAAUGCGAAGAAGAAAAAGAAUGAGGAUAAAAAUAAAGAUGAGGUAAAUGUUCAAUCACCAAUUAGAACCGAUAAAGAGCGAUUAUCGCUUAAACGCAAGUUAAAGAAAAAAGAAGCUUCUCACUCUGAGGAAUCUGAAGUAAAUAAGAAGCGUAAAAAAAGUGAUAAAAACGAAUCCUCAGAGAAUAAGAAAGAAGUUGAAAUGGCGGAAUUACCAACAACUUGUAAGUCCAUAGAAAGAAUGCAAAACGUCAUAGAAAAAAUAGAAGAUCAUGUAAACGACACCUUGUCACAUAACGGAGAUUUUGCUUCACCAGAGUUUAAGGUAUCUAAAACUGAUAGGGUAGCCAAUGUAGGCAAAGUUGACAAAGUAUCAGCAGAGAAAGAUUACAAUGAUCAAAGUUUACACGACAGUAUUGAAACGGUAUCGAAAAUAGUACCCACUGCUAUUACUGAAUCCCAAACUGUUAAAAUUAGUGAGGAUUGCGAAUCAAGUGGAGAUCUCGUAGCAUGUCAACUAGAGUUUGAGGCAUCAGAUGGAGAUGUCAGUGUAGUAUGUUCUAACAAGAGUACAAGUAUUGAAUAUUCACUGGAUAGAGUUAUGACAAAUACAAGACAGAUGAACUCUAUAGUUUCUAAGGAUUCUGCAGCUUCUAAUAUUCAAAGAGACGAGACUAUUGCCCAAGAGGGAAGAAAACUACUCUGUGAUCUUGGUAGCAGACUCGAUGACCUACUUCAAGGAAAUUCAAAGACUUUGGAAAUGGCUGAGAGUCCAACCAUUACGCCUGACAACAGCAAAAUCCUCUUAAAUCUUGAUACUAAUACAACAACAACUAUGAGAACAAAGACCGAUGCAUGUACUUCCAAUACCAAGAGGGAUGACAGUGAAGAAAGAUCUGUUGAGAGAAAUAGGAAUGAGACAUGUGAGUCUUUGAAACCUUCUGUAGAUAUUCAGACUACUGGCUCUGUAAAAUUAGAUACUUUGGCGAGAGAUGCGGAUGGACUGAAGUCUUUUUCAUAUAGCACAGAUAACACUUUUAUUCCUAUCAGUAGAACGGAAGCUCUUCAUUCUGAUCUUUCAAAUGACAUUUUUGCCUCGCUUCAAGUACCUUCGAGUUCACACAAUCCUGAAUCAAUAUCACCCACAGCAGCUUUUCUCAUGGCCUUUCCGCUAGUGUCAAGCCUGAAUGGCAAAACUGAAGUUCUGGAAGAAGAAAUAAAAGAGGAUUUUAAAUAUCAUAGUCAGACACCUCCGAUGCUUCUACAGAUAGGUACAAUGGAGCCUAAUAGUUUCAAGAUAAAACUAACUGAUAAAGAGAGUGAACUUCCUGAAGAAGUACCUAAUGAAUCACUCGAAAUGUCCAGUACCUCCACAAAAAAGAAGACAGAUUUACCAUCACCAUUGGCAUCAUCUUCAUCUUCACCUACUUCAUUGCGAGCACGAACCUCAAUAACGCCAACUACAUCAGCUACGGCAUCUGCUUUACCAUCUCGAGUUGUAGAACAUGUAACAGAAGCAGUAAUAGUUCCUGCAAUAUCUCGAUCAUCUACAGAAGUUCAUCCGACGUAUAUCUCCUCUGCAAAGACACGUCCUUCCGUUUCCAGUGAGGACCAGUUGUCCACCUCUUCAGCAGAUUUUUCACGAAGUGUGUCAGAGUGUACCACCAGUCAUGUCCAACCGAAACUGUCUACAGUAUGUUCUGCUGAAAAGCCAGAAUCCACUAAUGUCCCUUUGCUUCUUGAUACUUCCAAAGUAUUACCAAAAGUUUUAAAUAGUGAGACAGUGAAGAAACCUUAUAGGAUAGUGCAUGGAAAAGAUGAGACAGUGCCGUCAAAAACCUUAUCCGGGGUGAUCAGUGCUUUGUCGUACACUUAUCCAGUAUCAAAUUAUGAAGGUGAUCCUAGGACAACCGUAUCAACAUCUUUAGCCUCAACCUCGUCUACAUUAGAAAAUCAACGUCUAUGCCAAGUGCCACAACUUGAGUCUCGUACAAUGUUGAAAUUACCUGACUCAAACGUAGUUACUUCAUCGAAUGCUGUUUCAAGUUCUUCUGACGUGAAUAAGUAUGAUAUUAGUGGAUGCUAUUCAACUUGUCAAGAUUUCGUACCAAGUUAUUCAAGUUUUGAAAAUCAACGAUCCUCUCGUUAUGGGCCUUCCAGUUUCACACCUUCCCUUGAAAUGAAUAAUACCGCGACAAGUACUUCGAAUUCCCAUAGAAAUCUUAAGAACUUCACAUCUCUUACUUCGUCUUCGACCACCUCUUCCAUCUCAACCGCGAUUCCCUCAACUUCUUGCACGACAGCGGGCACCGCCACUUCCCCUUGCACGGGUAAUGUAGCUCUGAGUAGUGGCGUUGGUAUUACUACCUCAUCCUCUUCUUCCUCGCUUGUUGGACUGGAACGUGAUUACUCCUUACGAUCCGAAGAGUUGCUGGCUACGUCCUCACAGAAUCUUCAACAACAACACUAUUCACAGCCUGUAUCAAUAGUCAGUCAAAAUGUUCAACGAAAUUAUGUUGAGCAAAGUAGGAAGGAUGUAAUCCUAAGCACAGAUUCACAGAAUGUUCAGCAUCAUGUCUAUACCACAAAUACGCAAAAAGAUGAACUGCUUCCUAGUUUUACUAGGAAUACACAUAACAGUUAUGCUCCUCGGGAUAAGGAUAAUUUAAAUCCAGUCUCCAGAAACGUUCAGCAAAAUUAUGGGCUUCGUAACAAGGAACAACAGUCCACGAAUUCGCAGAAUCCUCAGUCUCAGCUUCAACGUCAGCACCAGUAUCAACCACACCCUCAGUCUCAAUCUCAGCACCAGCAUGCAUUACAACAUCAAUCUCAAUCUCAACCUCAACAACUGAGUACUUUUCUCUUGCGUAGCAAAGAAAAUUUUACGCAGAAUAUACGUCAGGAUUAUGCUAUACAAAAGACCCAAGAAAUGACUCCAGAUGAACAUCGACAGCAAAAACACAAUAAUUACUUAGCGAAGAAAAUUGAGGUUGAUAAUUUUUCGUUAAAUUUCUACGGGAAGGAUUCACAAGCAGACGCUCUUUCUAAUGUAGAGAUCAUCGAUGCCUUUCAAGGAAAACAUGGGCAAACCAGUACGCAGAGCAGUUACCUCCCUUAUGAAAAGGAAGGAAAGCGAUUUCUUGGUGAUCGGCCAGUACAUUCCCUUGGAAAAUCUCUUCUUACUUCUCAAAACUCUCUUCCGACGUACUAUCAACAGAUUCAUCAACCUCAUCAACCUCUUCAGUCGAUUCCGAGCCAUCAAAGUCAUGAGAGUCAUGAGAAUCAUCAUCAGACUCAGCAUCCCCAUCAGAACCAUCAGUCGAACCAGCUCGCUACCACUUCAAAUUAUGAACAAAGUACACUCACAGAGAAUUCCAUUAAAUCGACUACUACAGUCGCUCAUAACUCUUCCAACUUCAGCAUCCUUUCCUGGACCACUUUCUCUCCGGUGAGUACAAACAAUAAUCUUGUUCACUUUGAACAGGCUCAGUCGCAAGUGGAUGCAUCUGUAACCGGUGGUGCAGUAACAGCACUGGGGACAAGUACAACAACAGCACCAACAGUAAGGACGACACCUGCUGAGAAUAAAACUAUCUGUGACAAUUUUAGCUACGUUCCAUUGCAUAAAGACAGUUUCGGAUUUUCCGGCAUCCUCUCUGAUGCAUUCUCGGCUGAGAGCACUUUACACUCAUUGCAUAUGGGCAAGUCUUCUACGAGGACAAAACCUCCUCUCCUAGAGAUGCCGAAACAGCCAUCAUUUCUCGAAACCUCGAAGUUGGGCAUACUUUCGCAAAAGCACCUGCAAAAUCAUAAUCAUGGUCAAAGUCAUAGUCAAUCUCAAAAUCAAAGCCAAAAUCAAACUACUCAAUCCAUCGAUUAUAAAUAUCUCGCAGAACCAAAGAAUAAAAGCAAGUAUUCAAUGGAGACUGAAUAUAUUCACAAUGAAUUUACUAUUGGUAUGGAUCAUCAACAUCCUCAUCAUCAUCAAAAUCACCAUAAUCAGCAGCAGCAACAACAACAGCAGCACCAGCAACACAGCACUAAGCAGCAAUCGUCAAUAUCAAUUGCAACAAAGCAGGAAAAAUCCAUUCCUUACGCAAUGACUAGCUACAAUCCUCCAAUAAGCUUUGAUGUGUCAGAUCGUAAUAAUCCAGUGAAGUAUUCAGCUGAUACCUAUAUAGGAGGGAGUUUCAAAUAUACGGAUAAGUCGCUACCACAUCAGACACAGAAAUACCAGCCACUCGCACAAACUCAACUUCCAUCAAUGCCACCACAUAACAAUAGCAUUGGUUACAUCCAUAAGCAACCUCAAAAUUCCAACAAGUCUAAAACUCAUCAACAGCAGCAUCAGCAACAACAAAAUCAACAUGCUCAGCACCAUCAUCAUAAUUCUCAUCAGCAGCAUCACCACCACCAGCAACAUCAUCAUCAGCAAGUCCAACCACAUCAGCAACAUCAGCAACAACAACAGCAGCAAAACAGCAAUAGAGCACCUGUUAAUUGGAUGAUGACACCGGAAGUGAAACACAAUACAAAUAUCACGGAUAUUAUACUACCGCCGAUUGGAAAGGAGCUUGACCUUUGCCAAAAUAAUCUUUUCUCACAAAGCACGACGUACAACCAAAGUACGAGUAAUCAAUUUUAUAAUAACUACGAUGUUCCACAUAGUUUUCCAAAUAUACCGGUUCUGCAAAACGAAUCGAAGAAAAUUGAUAUCUUCUACACGGAGGAGCAACCAUUUUCUUGGUCACCAACCAAAAAUCCACAUACUCUCGUGGAACAGAGUCAAUCGAUUAAAUCAAUUGAGCAACAUAUUGUUCCUCCAACUCUACCAACUCUUGUAGGUGAUCUUGCUUUGGGUACCAAUAUUCCUGACAAGCAAAACUUCCUCUUUAGUCAGAUUCCUGCAGCUGCUGUUGCGGCCGCUGCCGCUGCAGCUGCCAUGGCUACUGCCGCUACUACUGUAUCAACAUCCACGUCUACUACGGUUUCAACGACAUCAUCGAGUCUUCUUCUGACAUCUAGUUCUAUAACAUUUUCUACGCCAGUAUCAACUUCAACUUCGACAUCCGCUUCCAUAUCUACUUCCACUUCAACUUCUACAUCUGCAUCCAGGUCGACGGUUCCUUCGUCUUUAAUAUUCACACCAACAACCCCUGCAACGACUACGUCGUCAUUGGCGUCAACCUCAGGAUCGGCAUCGACAUCAAUAUCGACGUCGACGUCAGUACCGAUAUUAGCUCCUACAUCCACAUCAACUUCGACAUCGACAUCAGUUUCGACAUUGAUUUCUAAUACUGCUGUUGGCACUGCAGUCGGAACAAUGGCAACCAGGUCAGCAAAUGUUGAACACACAGAAAAAGAUUCAAUUUCUGGAAAAGAUAAAGAAACCAGUGCCCCCAUCAGUCGUGAUUUUCCGACAAUACUUCAUUCACAGCACGCUUGUGUUCAGGGUACUUUUUUGUCUGUCAGCCAAUUGGUGGAACAUGAAAAAGCAGAGAAAUCUCAGCAACAGCAACAAGUCAGAAAACAUCAACGAAAAAGCAGCAAGCGACAACUCGACAUGCGCAAAUCAACCAGUCAACCUACUGGAGAACAUCAACAGUCCAGAACACCUGCUGAACAGCAACAAUCACAGCUUCACCAAGAUGAAAGGAAAAAUGUUAGCGUUUCUGCUUCGUCUUCUGAGCAACAUAAUUUCUCAACAGAGCAUACUUAUCAGCAACAAAAAUAUCAUUCGCAAAAUGAUUUUCAAUGGAGAUCUCGUAAUUGCAAAAGCAAUUACACGGCUGAAGCUCUCAUUGGAGGUAACUCGAGUGCACUUCAGCAGAACAAUUUACACCAGCAGCAGCAACAACAGCAGCAACGGCAGGAGUCAAAGCACGUGGGGCCUAUAAAGUUUCAACCAAAUUACGGACCCACUAAAUUUGGAAGUGGUUUAUCAGCAUCAGGUGCAGACGUUGCGACAAUGCCUUUAAAUUAUUUCUCAGGCGCUGAUGAGAGUAACAAUUACGGUCAGGUCAAUCAAAACUUUAAUUCCUACGCUUCAUACUCCUCAAAUGCAUCUAGUAUUUAUCCUACGACGAAUUUUAUAACAAGUAUACAAAACACACCAGCAUCAUCUGGUUAUAUGAUGCCGCUUCACGAGAAUACUGAUUACCUGGAAUCAUCAAAUUCAUUUCUUUUACCAAAUGCCACGGUAACACCUGGCAACUCAACAUCUAAUGUUUUGAAGAAUCAACACUAUGCUACUUCAGCCUCUACUGCCAUUGCUGCUGCUUCCAAUUCCGGUGGAUCUGCAGUGAUAGUCAGCGGUUCAAAGAAUCAAAACUGCGAGAAACGGAAUUAUUCUAUCUCAAAAAGAAGUAAACGCAAAAAUGAUAACGGUGCAACGGGAAUACAGAGCAUCGACUUCUCCAUUUCCGGCAUGAACUCACCCCUUGAGGAUUAUCAUUCAAGCUUUCUACCUCAUGGUAAUGUGUACCAAAACUCAUCAGUUCUACCAUCUCCGGCGGUAUCAGUUUCUUCGGUGCCACACUCGGCACCACCGACACUGGCUUCUGUAAUAGUACCUCCACCGCCACCACCUCCACCAUCACCACCACAGCCAUCCUCACCAGCACUGCCACCACCAUUGCCUCUGUCAAUACCGUCUUCUGUCCAUCAAACUAACGUCUAUCCAAAGCCGGUACUGAAUGGCAAUCUGUCAGGAUUACCUGUGCCAGGAAACGUUCAAAAUAUUUCACCAGCUGGUCUUGGCAUGAGUUCCAAUGUUACCGGAAGAGGAACGUCUGUGGCUAGCCCCAUGGUGAUGACACAUCCUUCUGGGACAAGUUUAACCAACUUUAACCUUAGCACCAUUUUCCCUGAAAUUAAUGAUAAGGUUGUCGGUACCGUUCCUUACAAGCCUCUCACGCAAUCCGUGAAUCAUGGUCCUACUUACACGCACUCACCAAACUAUGCGACACCUUUGGCGCGUCAGGCACUGUCCCAAUUACCAGAGUCUACGACUCAAUUCGUGAACAAUAUGCAACCUCCAGCAUCGAGUGUGCUUCACUACAAGAAUGCCUGAUUUUUAAGAAGCACACAUACCAUAAUGGAGCCUGUAACAUAGUAAAACAAUUUGUGAAUUCGGCAGUAAACUAUAAGCCAAGUGUCGAUUAGCUGACAGGAGCAACGACGAAUGAAAGAAAGUGGCGACGAUGUGGUGUCUAGCUUAAAAGUACAAAAAGGAAGGAAACACAAUCAUCACUUGUGUAUGCAUCUGUGCCGUUAUCUAUGAUGAUAAAACAGAGCCGAUUAUGUCAUUUUUUCUUCUUGAGAGGUGAUGCAUGCAACUAUAUGUAUAUAAUUGCGUGAAAAAAUUUAUGAAUUUCGAGUUUUUAUGUAUGUCUGUGCGUGUAUGUAUCGAUCAUGGAUACGUUACCCGAUGAAGUAAUCUUAAAAAUCAUGCUAAAUUUAUAAUUCGCAGAUCGUUUGCAAGCAAUACAAGUAUGUCGAUUUUGGAGAUAUGUCAUUCUGCGUAAUUGGUAUUUUUUUAAAAAUAUUUUACUCAACGGGAAAAAAUUUUCAAGAUUUUUGAUUUUAACAUAAACACCGACGAGUGUCUUACUGACAAAUGGUAGCGUAAUUAAAUUUAAUUAUGAAAAAAAUACAAUCAACGCUGUUAACGAAGAUGCUUUUGCUACUCUUUCAAUUAGUGAUGCUGAUAACGAUGUUGAAACGACGAUUAUUACGAUCAAAAGACUAUUUUUCAUGAGUUCUGUUUCAAUUGAACUAGGGCUACUGGCGGCACCUCUCCUCAUGGAUGGAUGAAAAAAAAUCUCAUGGAAUACAACACACCAACGACGAUUCACGAGACCCGUGGCUGGUCUAGAGCGUCGAGCAUCUUACAUAACCUAGCUUAUACUAAAGGGACAACGGGAUUGUGGGAAUUUCGUAAUAAUAGGCACAAGAAAGUGCAGAAGCUGUCGUUCUCUGACUUACGGCGGAAUCGCGUAAGGAUUCUUCUGAUUUAUACCAAAAUCGAGGAUCCGACUUUAGAGUAGAGUCGCCGGAAGAGAGAAAUUCUCAGUUAGAAAUCACUAACACAAUUUUUUGAAACUAUUGGUGAAAAAUAAUACAACGAAAUUUAUCCUCCGCAACCACGAUCUCGUGGUAAGUUGUAUUUCCGUGAUACUCCACCUUGUAUUUCACAUAAUAAUAAACACCCUCCUUGCAUUCUU